Molecule: small RNA, 4045 nt
Filed under: Pongo abelii (Sumatran orangutan)
Lineage: Eukaryota; Metazoa; Chordata; Mammalia; Primates; Hominidae
Description: processed transcript
Source: RNAcentral
AUUGCGGGGGCGUCCCAGUUCCCUCAAAACGCUCCGUUCAUCAUCCCUUUCUAAGUUCUCCCUCGGCCUUCCUUUUGAGCUAUGGUCUUUUUCCCAGACAGGAAGAGAAGAGCUGCCCCUGCCUCCGGAGCCGAAGGAGAACGCCGCAAUAGCGAUGACGGCCCUCGACGCAGUGGGGCGGCCUCAACCUAACCCGGGGCGGGGCCUCGGGGGCGGGAUCUCGGAGGGGCGGUCGCUUUGGAGCCGCAAAGUUUGGCUGUGGCGGCAAAUGGGCUUGGGCGGCUCCUCGGCGGGUGGCGGUGGUGGCCGUAGCGGUUCCUCCUGGCCCUGUUAAUGUCGGGGCCAGGCCCGGGGAGGAUGGCGCCCUAGAACCCGGCCUUGCUGGGGUAGGGGCGGGAGGGGACGGGGUGGGGACCGGCCAUGUCGGAGGUGACCCGGAGUCUGCUGCAGCGCUGGGGCGCCAGUUUUAGGAGAGGCGCCGACUUCGACUCUUGGGGCCAGCUGGUGGAGGCGAUAGACGAGUAUCAGAUGUGAGUGACUAACCGCGGGAGCGGGCCAGACCGGCUCCAGGCGUGCGCCUCUCCCUUGUUUCUGUCGGUGUCUCUCAUCACUGUAUCUGCAGCCAAGGCUUCUCAGGGUGGGGCUCGGCAGGCACUGGGGCUGAGAUCCCUCGCCACCAGCCCCAGCGAGGCUGCUCUGGGGACAACGGCUCCGCUCUCUGGGGUGACUCGCCUUCUUCCCCCUCCGCCUCCGCAGGGACAGUUCCAUUCAACAGGUAGCCCUUCUUUCCUGGGGCGCAGGCCCUAGCAGGCUAUCUACUUAGUUCCUUUCCACCGUCUCGCGGGUCCCCCACUUGGCAGUCAGUUUCCUUUCCUCCUCCUCUCGCAGGUUGCCUUUCCUCGAUUUCCCUUUGAAAUUCUCUGAGGAAUACUUGUGUGUUCUCCGCCCACGUUCCAAGGAUGAGUGGCCUUGCUCUGUGUGUGUCUUCCAUGUGUAGGAAAGGAGGGAACUGUUUGCGAUUGAGGGGAGGGGGGGUGCCCAGGAAGCAGCGAGGGCUAGGGAUACCUCUUCUGCCAAAAGAAGGGUCUCCUCUCGCUCUCCUUCUCCACCCCUCUUUCUGGUGAGCCGUGUUUUCAGAAUUCCACCUCGAUUUCGUUUCGGUUUCUGGGACUGUUAUUUGGUAGGCUGUGAGUCCCACCCACCCCCUCGCUCGGUUGCCUUGGGUGGAGUCCGCGCAGGAUGUGAACAGAAGAGAGCAAAAUGUGAAUUAAUGGACCACGCACAGGAGCACCACUCCCUCUUUGGAUCCCUCCUCCUUUUCCUGUAUAUAAUGUAUAGCCGCAGGGUACAAAUUAGCAAGACAUCUACAAAAGGAGGCCCAAGCUCAACACAAUAAUUCUGAAUUCACAGAAGAACAAAAGAAAACCAUAGGCAAAAUUGCAACAUGCUUGGAAUUGCGAAGUGCAGCUUUACAGUCCACACAGUCUCAAGAAGAAUUUAAACUGGAGGACCUGAAGAAGCUAGAACCAAUCCUAAAGAAUAUUCUUACAUAUAAUAAAGAAUUCCCAUUUGAUGUUCAGCCUGUCCCAUUAAGAAGAAUUUUGGCACCUGGUGAAGAAGAGAAUUUGGAAUUUGAAGAAGAUGAAGAAGAAGGUGGUGCUGGAGCAGGGUCUCCUGAUUCUUUUCCUGCUAGAGUUCCCGGUACUUUAUUACCAAGGUUGCCAUCGGAACCAGGAAUGACAUUACUCACUAUCAGAAUUGAGAAAAUUGGUUUGAAAGAUGCUGGGCAGUGCAUCGAUCCCUAUAUUACAGUUAGUGUAAAGGAUCUGAAUGGCAUAGACUUAACUCCUGUGCAAGAUACUCCUGUGGCUUCAAGAAAAGAAGAUACAUAUGUUCAUUUUAAUGUGGACAUUGAGCUCCAGAAACAUGUUGAAAAAUUAACCAAAGGUGCAGCUAUCUUCUUUGAAUUCAAACACUACAAGCCUAAAAAAAGGUUUACCAGCACCAAGUGUUUUGCUUUCAUGGAGAUGGAUGAAAUUAAACCUGGGCCAAUUGUAAUAGAACUAUACAAGAAACCAACUGACUUUAAAAGAAAGAAAUUGCAAUUAUUGACCAAGAAACCACUUUAUCUUCAUCUACAUCAAACUUUGCACAAGGAAUGAUCCUGACAUGAUGAACCUGGAACUUCUGUGAAUUUUACCACUCAGUAGAAACCAUCAUAGCUCUGUGUAGCAUAUUCACCCUUCAACAGGCAGGAAGCAAGCCGUACCCAGACCAGUAGGCCGGAGGGAGUCCAAUGCAAAGCUGUACCACAGAAUUCAAAGUCCAGCACAUCACUGACGUAUAGGACUCCUUGGGAUACAGGUUUAUUGUAGAUUUUGAAACAUGUUUUUACUUUUCUAUUAAUUGUGCAAUUAAUAGUCUAUUUUCUAAUUUACCACUCCUCCUACGCUGCUUCCUGGAACAAUACUGUUGUGGGUAGGAUGUGCUCAUCUUCAGACUUAAUACAGCAAUAAGAAUGUGCUAGAGUUUACACAUCUGUUCACUUUUGCUCCAAUAUGCUCUUUUGACUUAACGUCAAGCUUUGGGUUGAUGUGGGUAGGGUAGUGUCAAACUGCUUUGAGAGGAAUUGGACCAGUUCUGCUGCCUAAGAAGGUCUGUCUGGAUGUUUAUAGGCAGCACCUCUGAAGUGGCCUAAAUUCACCCUGAUCUGAUAGUUUUCCUGCUUAGUGUGCCUUGGCCAGAUCAGUAUCCCACAUGGGAGUGUUCCCUAGGUUGUAGCUGUGAUUGUUUCCAGAUGACCAGAUUGUUUUUCUGAAAAUGAGCAUAUUUUUAGUCAUGUCGAUUAGCUGUUCUUCUACAUCACAUUGUUACUCUUUCUGAUGAUGAUUCUAGGGUUAACAUUGGAACCAUCUCAAAAUAAUUACAAAUUUUUAGAUGGGUUUACAAUGUCCUCUAAACAAUGUAAUCUAAAAAUAAUUGAGUCAGAUGCUAACGAGAUACUGCAGGCAUAACUGCUGUUUUUCUGACAACUGAUUGUGAAACCUUAAAACCUGCAUACCUCUUCUUACAGUGAGGAGUAUGCAAAAUCUGGAAAGAUAUUCUAUUUUUUUUAUAUAGGUAGAUAGGAUCGCCAUUUAUUUCCUAUUUAGAUAUACUGACAUUCAUCCAUAUGAAAAUAUGCAGGUCAUUAGCUUACUAUAAUGUGACUAUUUACUUUUGACUUAAUAGGGCAUAAAUAAAACUUUCAUAGUACACAUGAGGUGGAUAUUUGAUACACAGAACAUUUGUGGUGGGCUUUCUGUGGGUUAGAUGUAAAGCCCACAUUUUAAUAUUCACUAUUUUAAAUGAGCAAUGCAUGAGGGGAAUGCAGUGUCAGUACCUGGCCUAUUUUUAAACUAGUGUAAUCACCCUAGUCAUACCAUUCAGUAUGUUUGCUUUUUAAAAUAACCACAAUUAAGUUGUUUUAGCCCUUGCACUUCAAGAGAUCUAGUCUUUACUUUCAGUUGUCUGUUAGGUCCAUUCUGUUUACCAGACGGAUGUUAAUAAAAACUAUGCGAGCCUGAAUGAAUUCUCAGCCAAAUUUAGUCUUGUCUCUCAUCUUGAUUGGAUUAAUUCCAAAUUCUAAAAUGAUUCAGUCCGCAAUAGCUCUAGGGGAUGAAGAAUUUGCCUUACUUUGUUGUUCACUCAGUUCCUAAGACUGUGAGUUGUCAAAUCCCUAGACUGUAAGCUCUUCAAGGAGCAAGAAGUGCAUUUUCUCCGUGUCAUGUAAUUUUUCUAAGGUGCUUGGCAGCACUCUGUACCCUGUGGAGUACUCAGUACCUUUUGUUUGAUGUUGCUGACAAGACCUAAAAAAAAAUCCCUUAAAAAAAAAACCCAUUAAAAUGUAGCAAAACCGAUGUAUUAUUUUUUCUCUUUUCUCAUAAACCAUAAGAUAUGUAUAUCAAAGUGAUAAUUUAUAUGAAGCAUCUGCUAUCCUUCACAUAAGUGUGGUUUAUAUGAACUACAAAUACCUUUCAUCAACAUUAAAGAAGCUUAAAUUGAA